RNAcentral lists this ribosomal RNA (117 nucleotides) under Pteropus vampyrus (large flying fox). The record is from RNAcentral. Lineage: Eukaryota; Metazoa; Chordata; Mammalia; Chiroptera; Pteropodidae.
AUCUACGGCCGUACCACCCUCAACAUGCUCGAUCUUUUCUGAUCUUGGAAGCUAUGCAAGGUUGAGCCUGGUUAGUACUUGGAUGGAAGACCACCUAGAUACCAAGUGCUGUAGGCA